Molecule: ribosomal RNA, 394 nt
Filed under: Endomyxa sp.
Lineage: Eukaryota; Endomyxa
Description: partial small subunit ribosomal RNA
Rfam family: Eukaryotic small subunit ribosomal RNA
Source: RNAcentral
AUUCCAGCUCCUAUAGCGUAUAUUAACGUUGUUGCAGUUAAAAGGCUCGUAGUCGAACCUAUGAUCUUGUAAACUAUACCCUUUGCCAAGCGCAAUGGUGUCUAUGUUUACUGGUCAUCCUUCUGGAAAAUAUACCUGCUCUUCACUGAGUGGGCUAUACGAUCCAGAUCAUUUACUGUGAGUAAAUCAGAGUGUUUAAAGCAGGCUUCAUGCCUGAAUGUUCUAGCAUGGAAUAAUAAGAUAGGACUUUGGUUCUAUUUUGUUGGCUUCUAGGACUAAAGUAAUGAUUGAUAGGGAUAGUUGGGGGUGCUAGUAUUUAACGGUCAGCGGUGAAAUGCGUGGACCCGUUAAAGACUAACUUAUGCGAAAGCAUUCACCAAGGAUAUUUUCAUUG